Molecule: RNA transcript, 1947 nt
Organism: Triticum aestivum (bread wheat)
Lineage: Eukaryota; Viridiplantae; Streptophyta; Magnoliopsida; Poales; Poaceae
Exons: 5
Source: RefSeq, a predicted model, not a curated record
UAGAUUUUAAGCUCAUAACCAUACGAGGAAAGGAGAGGGAGACGCGCGAGAAACAGAGCCCACGACUCCCUCGUCUCUCCCGAAUCGCCACCACCAUUGCCUCGUCUCCCUUGCGCCGACCCUCCCCACCUCCCACCACAAAGCUCUGGAGGCUGUCAGAUCCGCCAAAUCCCGACCCAACCGUCCCUCUCGCGUCCCAUCCUGAUCUCUUCACGCGGCUCCUCGCCGCUCUACGUGCGGUGGCUCCAUCAGGUAAUGUCCGGCGAAUCCCGCCACCACGAAGCACAGGCCGAGGUCCCUUCGAUCCGUGGAGCCCUCCCAUCCAGCUAGAUCCAGCGCUUGAGUCCACGACAGCCCACCCGCGACCCAUCCCCCAUGGCUAGGGUUCCUGGCGUCGGAUCUGGUGCCAGUGGCCAUGUCGUUGUCGUCCUCGUCUCAUCCACGUGCGGGGAGGAACGUCCAGUGGACAACCUUGCUGCGGCUCGGGAUGAAGCAGCCACGAGCUUCCUCCUCCUCCGGCUUCAGGUUUUGACCAUGGCCAACAUAUAUUCUUUUAGGCUAAUUACUAAAUCAAUCUUACGAUGGUUCAUGUGGCUGCGGAGUUGUAGCAACGGCAGUUUGAAGCAGAUUAGGCGCCCCGGGCGUCUUUGCCAGCGAGGCUGUCGAGUGAAGGAAAUGGCAGUGUGGUGAUUUGUUUUCUAUUCUCCAUCCUUAAAGCUCAUAACAGAAGAAAGAACUAUACAAUUGACUUUAUCACUGUAGUUUUAUUAAGAAAAAAACCUGUCUUUUACGCAUGUAUUGAUUCUCCUCUUGAAUCGAUUGUGUUGUAGGGAGUGAAAGCAUCCAGUUGGGGUGGUCUGCAGCUCUGGUCGCCUCCAGCAGCACUACAUAAUCAAAGUUCCAAACAAUAGUACUGCACUGCUGCCUCCAGCCAACCACAACAUAAUCAUUGCUGCACGCACCAACUUGUUGUAGGGGGACACCAUGGAAGGUGUACAAAAUUAGCAAUGGAUCUCUAGGCUGGUGAUGACCAUGUAAAUUCGUUUCAGUGGAUUUGGGGCUGUACGUUCGUUCCAAAGCAUGGUGAGCACAUGUAGGUUUGUCUAUUUCCUGUUGGAUGACUGAAACCAACUAGAGCUAAAUGUUUUGGUUCAGUUUCCGAUGACAAACUUGUUUGGUUCAGUUUGCUAAUUAAAUGGAGAAGAGAAGAGAAGUAGUACUGUCACUCACAUUGCCUUUGAAUGCACAAUAGCGCUUAGGCUACUGUUCAUAUAAUGUUAUUGAGCCAUGUUGUUCUGCAGGCUAUGUCAUAUAUUGUGGCGUCUGGAUUAGUAAACACUCAUGCCGGCAUAUUUUCAGAAUCAUAACAAGGACGUAGUUUGCUACAGUUCUAAGUUAUGAUCCUAAAUUUAAACUUGAUGGUGCUCAAAUGAAAGUACAUUUUGGGCAGUGUAAUACAACACUUGCGAAAACUGAAGAUUUGGUACAGAGUCGCAAAAACUGCAAAACUAUUGGUAAUGCAGAAAAAAUAUAUUGCAUGGCCUUCAACCUUUGUACGUGUCUAAUAUCCUGCCUUUAUCACUACUUGCAUCAUGUCAAUGCAUUAUGUGUUAACAAUUCAUUUUGUUAUUUUCUUUGUAGAUUGAAAAGAUAUAUGGAUGAUUAUAUGGGUGCGUAACAAGUAUGCUGCAACGAUGAUGAUGAUAUUCUGGUUCAUGAUGAUGGAUGCUUUCAAUUUUAGUUAAGUUGUGGGACGUUCCUGUUGGACGAUGUUCCUUAGUUAGUUUUACUUAAGUUGUAGGGAUGUUGAUGGAUGAUUUUAGUUUAGAUUUUGCUGUCAAGAAAAUAUUAGAUUAUGCGUCACAUUUGGAUGAUGUUCCUCCUAUAAUAUCCAUUAUUGUAAUCCAACAGUUUUAUCUAAUAUAUGAUUUCUUCCUCUUGUGAGUA